GACUUGCUAGCUCAGUCGGUAGAGCACAUCCCUUUUAAGGAUGGGGCCCUGGGUUCGAAUCCCAGGCAAGUCA
This 73-nucleotide transfer RNA is filed under the name Tannerellaceae bacterium. RNAcentral's name for it is "tRNA-Lys". It matches the Rfam family "tRNA". From Rfam's summary of the family: Transfer RNA (tRNA) molecules are approximately 80 nucleotides in length. Their secondary structure includes four short double-helical elements and three loops (D, anti-codon, and T loops). Lineage: Bacteria; Pseudomonadati; Bacteroidota; Bacteroidia; Bacteroidales; Tannerellaceae. The record is from RNAcentral.